This is a small nuclear RNA of Ailuropoda melanoleuca (giant panda), 106 nucleotides long. The record is from Ensembl. NCBI's taxonomy places the organism in Eukaryota, Metazoa, Chordata, Mammalia, Carnivora, Ursidae.
GGUCACUUUGGCAGCCCACAUACAAAAGUUAGAAAGAUACAGAGAAAAUUAGCAUGGCUCCUGUGCAAGGAUGACAUCCAAAACUCCAGGUGUAGAUGAUUUCACU